AGCGGAACCCGAAUUCACGAAAGCUUUCUCCGGGCUUCUUCCCAGUCCUCAGUAAUGUGAGACGGCCAGGGACUAUCUCGAGAUUGUAUUGGAAGAGAGAUAAAUACAAUCAAGGAAUUUACACAUAGUAUCUCUUAACUGCGUCAAAUUGAAAGCCAUGUCAAUGCAUCUUCCUUCGAAAUCCGUUAAGAGACAUGCGAAAGCCUGAGCUAGAUCGUCCCAGGUUUACCACCUGUUGGGAUCCUGUCUGGUAUACCAUUCCAGGGUUGAUCCACUUGAGCUCUGGCCAAAGUAAGCUAUUAGUAGCUCAUCUUUGGCGCCCGCUCCUCUCAUUUUGCUACAGAAACCCUGUAAAUGUGCCAUAGGAUCGUCACGCCCUUCAUAUAGAUCGAACUUUGGCAUCUUGAACCCUAACGGCAAUUGGACGUUAGGAAAAAGGCAUAAAUCCUUGUAUGCUACGCGGACUUGGCUGCCUAAUCCAUGCAUGUUCCUGAAGUUUUACUCCAGGCUUCUAACUUUCUGCAUUACCUCAUCCUAUUCUGGAUUCCUGGCUUGCUUUUUACUCUCCGCAGAGACCUCAAAUUGGGAAUGUUGGAUAUGUGGUUCGGGUGUUUUAAAUGCGGGUUCUGGGGGAUAAUAUUGUGCCCCGUGAGCCUGAAACAACAUCCCACUAGUGGAUCUUUGCAGCGUGGCUGGUGGAGGUCCCAUGAAAACGGGCACAUUUAGAGGUGGCUGAUUCGGGUUGGGUGGUGGAGCGUGGGAGUCAUAGGGGUUUCUUCCCUGGAAGUAGUGCUGACUCGGGAAGCUUGUUGAAGGGCCAGGGUGAGAGUAUUCUGGCAUGUGCCUAGGUGGAGGAGUAGGAGUAAUAGGUGAUUCAGACCCCUUUUGCACUUUAGCCAAGGCCAACUUCAUUGCAUUCAUCUCCAACCCCAUUUUCUCUAUCUUUUCCAAGGCUUCUUUUAGCAACUGUGCCUCGGGCCUCUCUUCCUCAACAUAGUUCUCAGAAUUGGUCAUGCUUUU
Molecule: long non-coding RNA, 1020 nt
Filed under: Nicotiana benthamiana
Lineage: Eukaryota; Viridiplantae; Streptophyta; Magnoliopsida; Solanales; Solanaceae
Description: long non-coding RNA (NBEN_LNC021667)
Source: RNAcentral